This is a long non-coding RNA of Cydia strobilella, 141 nucleotides long. RefSeq lists it as uncharacterized. Lineage: Eukaryota; Metazoa; Arthropoda; Insecta; Lepidoptera; Tortricidae. The transcript is spliced from 3 exons. The record is from RefSeq and is a predicted model, not a curated record.
ACACAUCACGAUGCAGGCGAAGAAAGAUGAUCACGCUUGUAGACACGCGUGCACGCGCCAGCCGGUGGAAGCCUCACCAGCAGCUAAAAGGAAGCCGUGCGACGUGUGUCCGCCAUGCCAGGCGCCGUGCAACCCCGCCGC